RNAcentral lists this ribosomal RNA (425 nucleotides) under uncultured bacterium. Its description in RNAcentral is "partial 16S ribosomal RNA". It matches the Rfam family "Bacterial small subunit ribosomal RNA", at positions 354 to 796 of the family's 1533-position model. The record is from RNAcentral.
GUGGGGAAUAUUGGACAAUGGGCGCAAGCCUGAUCCAGCCAUGCCGCGUGAGUGAUGAAGGCCUUAGGGUUGUAAAGCUCUUUUGUCCGGGAAGAUAAUGACUGUACCGGAAGAAUAAGCCCCGGCUAACUUCGUGCCAGCAGCCGCGGUAAUACGAAGGGGGCUAGCGUUGUUCGGAAUCACUGGGCGUAAAGCGCACGUAGGCGGACCAUUAAGUCAGGGGUGAAAGCCUGGAGCUCAACUCCAGAACUGCCUUUGAUACUGAUGGUCUCGAGUAUGGAAGAGGUUGGUGGAACUGCGAGUGUAGAGGUGAAAUUCGUAGAUAUUCGGAAGAACACCAGUGGCGAAGGCGACUCACUGGCCCGUUACUGACGCUGAGGCGCGAAAGCGUGGGGAGCAAACAGGAUUAGAAACCCUGGUAGUCC